Molecule: ribosomal RNA, 164 nt
Filed under: Saccharomyces cerevisiae (brewer's yeast)
Lineage: Eukaryota; Fungi; Ascomycota; Saccharomycetes; Saccharomycetales; Saccharomycetaceae
Description: 18S ribosomal RNA
Rfam family: Eukaryotic small subunit ribosomal RNA
Source: RNAcentral
UAUCUGGUUGAUCCUGCCAGUAGUCAUAUGCUUGUCUCAAAGAUUAAGCCAUGCAUGUCUAAGUAUAAGCAAUUUAUACAGUGAAACUGCGAAUGGCUCAUUAAAUCAGUUAUCGUUUAUUUGAUAGUUCCUUUACUACAUGGUAUAACCGUGGUAAUUCUAGA